CUUGUGUCGGCCGACGCCGAGGGCGAGGUGGGGAGCUGGGCACGGUGGGUAGUGAUUAAGUCUAACAAAGGUGGUUUGAUCUUUGAAGAAGCCAUUGAAACUGUCUGGUGGGAGUCCCAGACUCAGGGCUAUAAGUUCCAUCAACUUGUAAGCAAGUUUUUCCACUUCUUUAGCAUACUCUUCACAUGCCUCUCUGUCAAGCAUAUGCCAAAAGUAAAUAAAUAAAUGAAUACUAUAAUUGCUACAUUAAAUUUUGCAUUAAUCAGAGCAUGCUUGGCUCCAAAAUAUUAUUACGAGCUUUCAAAUUGACCAACAACCAAUUAAAAUUAUUUGAGUGGUACUCAACACUACUCAACUGCUUAUGGUAGUUUAUUUUGCCGACAAAUACCUCUUAUGGACUAUAUAUUGUGACUAUCCUCCACCAUGAGAAAAUUCAGGUCACCAAUUUAGAUUUUCUUAACUUUGAAGCUUAUUAAAUUCGAUAGCACAAAGACACUAAUUAAAAUGCCCAUUAGGUGUUUUAAAAAAAGUACAAACUCUCUUUCGAUUGACUUGCAUAUUAAAGGAUCAGAAUUCUCUUUUAAAUUUAGAAUUCUCUCCAAGUCAUAGUACUCAAGUAUUAAAAUUAAUUUCACCAUCACAAUGUAAGAAAUGAACUUUACCUGAAUUCAGGAGGAUAAUCAGGCCACUGAUUGUACGUCUCAGCUAUUUCCUUGUCCUCAGGAUCAGGUGAAGUUGGCAUCAAACAAGGGCUCUCCACGACAAAAUCAAACACUUCUUUCCAAUCUCUAACAUUUUUGGUAUGCUCGGUGUCAUAAUACCCCACCACCUUCUUCUCAUCUCUCCUCACCUUCCUCUUCUCCUCCAACGGCUGCUCGAAAAACUUCCUCGCCAUAUUUUCUAUGCUCCGGCGCUUAUCCGUGGGCACGCCGUGGUUGAUCACCUGAAAAAACCCCCAGUUCUUGCAUGCAUUGCCUAUUUCCACAACCAGGUCACGAAUGGUACUGUCAGGGUUUUUAAUACUGGUGUUGGUGGCGCUCAAAGCUGAGAGAUCAAUUAAGGGUAUGCCUUCGGCUUCGGUUACGGAGAGUUUAGGCCUGUGCUCAAGGGCUUGAACGAAAGCUUCAUCAACUUCUCCCAUGGCUGGCCAGCUGCAGGUGAUUGAUUCACUACUGAUGAGGUAAAAGUGGUUCUUGAUAUUUAUUUAUGGGGGUGAAGAUAUGGAGAUAACAUAAGAUUGAAUCUAGACUGGAUUUGGGGCAGGUGAGGGAUUGGAGGAUAUAUGUGACGUUUGUGCUUGCAUUGCAUUGCCUGAAUAAUGUGUCCAAGAAAAAAAAAAACGUCAAAAUAUGUAUAAUAUAUGGAAUCUGGAAAACAUUAACAAUUCAAUUUGGAUACGAUACCAUUGACACGUCAGCUCGUUUGCAAUUUAUUUAUGGAAAAUGAUAAACGAGCUCAAAGAAGACAAAAGGACGACAGAAAUGCAGCGUUCAAUUGCCGUUUCACGCGUUGAGUUCUGUUUCUUUUAAUCUUGCGUGGACCCACAAGAAAAAUUAAAAUAAAGAAAAAAGGAAUGGAAAGUUGGUCAUUUCUCCCCCGCCCCAACCACUUAUUUUUCUUUGCUUAGUUUACUCCCCCUCCACUCAUUUUACUCCCCCUCCAUUUGCUUCGUUACCGGACUCUCCCUGGACGACAGCCGCUUCUUGUUCUCGCUGAGCCCCUUCUUUUUUUUUUUUUCUCGCCCAGCCCCAUUUGCUUCGUUACCGGACGACGUCCACUUCUUGUUACCGGAGAUGCAAAUGCAAAGAGGGAACUGAUUUUCCUUCCUAAAUGCAGAUAGCUCACGUUGAGUAAAUGAGAGGUGAGAGAUGGAGAGAGAGGGGACAACAAGAAAAAUUAAUUGUAAAAAAGUCAUCUCUUUCGUUACUUUUGUUUCUUUCUUUUGAUUAUUUUAUUUUUUAAAUCAAAAAAGUAACAGACAAAGAGAGAUGGUGACUGCAGAUGAAGUAACAGACAAAGGGACCCACCCACGUUUCUGUCGUCCCUUUGUCGUCGCAGAAUUCCAAUAGCAGAACUCUUUAUUUAUUUAUUUGCAUUCUUUUUUGUUGCUUGCCCCUCUCUCUCUCUUUCUCUAAUCUAAAAUUUGAAUGCGUCUAAAAUUCUAGGAUCCAAAUAUAUAAAGUUAACUUCUGAAUAUAGUAGAGUUCAUGAAACGCUAAUUUUUACAUUAAAAUAUAGAAUAUUGUCAUUUUACCACCCACUAUUAUAUAUUUAUAUUAUAAUUUAAUUACUUAAUGUCUUCUAACAUAUCACUUUAUCAUCAAAGUUUUUUUAUAAUUAAUUUUUUAUUUUAUGUUUCAAUUUUAUCAUUUUACUACAAAACCGCUAAAAUUAAUAAAAUUUUUGACAAAAUUUAUAAUAAAAGUUUAUUUUAUCCACAAACUAUGUAAAUGUAAUUCAACUCUCUAAAUUAAAAAAAAAUUAAUUAUAUACAAAGAAAUUAUACUUUUAUCAAUUGAUUAUUUUAUACAUUUAAAAUAAUUAGUUGAUAAAGUUAUAAAUACUGAACUUUGUAAAAUUCUUAAAAUAUUGAAUAUAAUGAAAUUCCUAAUAUAUUCUUGUGACACUAGUAAUUUAUUAAUGAAUUUAACAAUUUAGUGGAAAAAUGAUAAAAAUUGAAACAUCAAGUGAGAUGAGUAAUUGUCAAAAACCAAUUAAGUAGUAAGAUGAUAAUAUUCCUAAAAAAAUUAGUUUUAUUCCGUAUAAUGUACAUACACAUGCGUACAUACAUAUAUACAUACAUAUAUACAUACAUACUAUUUGUUGAUGGAGACUGUUAAUUCCUUUAGCUGUUUUGCGAUGGAUUUGAAGGUCUCAACAUUAAAGCUUCUUGAAAUUUCUGAGCUUUCUCAUAUGUAGUGACAAAUUUUGGCCAGCCUACUAGGAUUUUUCCUCAUUUAUUUUAGAGAUUAAAGCUAUUAAAACAAACAAUUUAUUGUGGGAAUUCUUUUAUACAGAUGCUUAAUUAUUUUAUUGGUUUAUUAAAGGGACCUCAAACAGAGAGGAGAUAUUAAAUGUGAAAUUAUGAUGCAUAUUUGACGAAAUGACAAGUGUUUUAAUUUUUAUUCAAUUAUUUUGUCAUCUCACUUUAAUUUUUGUUCAGCUAAAUCAAAGAGUUGAGGGUGUGCCUUUUAAAAGGUGCCCAGAUUCACUUUCAAAAAGUUCCACUACUAUUUUUUCAUAUAUGUUCUUGAAUCUAUUUCUAUAAAAAUAGCAGAAACACUAUUUAAAGCUAAUUUACUCUUAUAAAGUGACCUUUAGACUUCAAUAUUAAAAGAGUAAUCCGUCAUUUUAAUUGAAUAUGAGACUAAUUUUAUUAAUUAUAUAUAUUUUGUUUAGAAUAAUAUUUUUUGAUGUUGCAUUACUUAAUAUACGUAUUUUUUUUUUUAUAUGCACUCACUUUCAUAAAAAUGUAUGCAAUAAAUUUAUAAUUUAACCCCAUGCUAUCAAAGAUCCUGAGUCCAUAAAGUUCCUCUGUUACAUCAAAAUGAUGUAAAUUACUUGCUUCACGUUCAUCUUAAUUUCAUCAUUGAAUCCUUUAUCUGAACAUAUGUAAUUAAUAAGUUAUAAAGACAAGUAUUCACCACAGCGUAUUAGCAAGAAUCAUUGAAUUGGUUUCCCAGAAGCAGAGGAGUCAUCCAAUUCAAAAAUCAAUAUUCAUCCACCAGAACAUUAAUAAUGCAUCCCAAAAAAAAAAGGUCACAAUAUGCAUCAUGUAUGGAGUCUGGAAAACAUUAAUAAUUCAAUUUGGACACGAUACCAUUUACACGUCAGCUUGUUUUUAAUUAAUUUAUUUAUUUACAUUCUUUUUUAUUGCAUGUCCUUUUUUUUCCUCUAGUCUAAAGUUCGAAAGCAUCUAAAUUCUAAACGGAUCCAAAUAUAUAAAAAUUUAACUUGUGAAUAUAGUAGAGUUCAAAUGAAACUCUAAUUUUUAUUUUUUUAAAUAGAAAUAUGGGAUAUUAUCUUUUUACCACCUAUUAUUAUGUUAUCAUUUUAUCCGCUAAUGUUUUUUGUUAUAUCACUUUACCAUCAAAGUUUUCUAAUAUUUAAUUUUUCCCACUUAAUGUUUCAAUUUUAUCAUUUUACUACUAAACCGUUAAAGCUAAUAAAUUUUUUUAUUACAAAAGUUUAUUUUAUCCCUAAACUGUAUAAGUGUAAUUUAACCUUCUAAAUUAAAAAAAUACAAAAUUAAUUAUAUACAAAGAAAUUUUACUUUAAUCAAAUGAUUAUUUUAUACAUUCAAGAUAAUUAAUUGAUAAAAUUAUAAAUGUAUAAUAUAACUUGUAAAAUUCUUAAAGUAUUGAAUAUCUUGAAAUUCCUAAAAUAUUCUUGUACCGUCAGAAAUAUAUUAAUGGAAUGUGAAAAUAUUGAGCCAAAGUCUCUUUUAGCAGUUUAUCUACAAUGCAAAAAGAAGUUGUUGCUUGUGAGAUGAGUGAUUUGGCUUGUUUCCUAGUGUUUUUGGAAGAAAUGAUGCUUUGAUGCUUAGACAAAACAAAAGCUUCUUUUAGCUCGCAUGGAAAUUCUUAUACAAAUGAUCGGCAUUGUAUUAAAUGAUUUAUUCCAUAAAUAUUAUAAUCCUAAAAAGUACAAUGGCCUAAUUAUAUUCUAAGAGUUGCAUAUUAAAAUGAGCAUAAGGAGGGAUCGAGUUUGUGUGAUAUGGCACUAUUCACAUUAGCUUUUUUGUUUUGAGUUUCUUUAAUUAAAAUAAUAAAAAUGAAUAAAAAUACAUAAUACUAAAUAAAAUUAAAAACUUAAAUAUGUCGCGGCUAGUGCUAAUGAACUGUCAGCGACAGUUCAACGGCUACCGACUACCUGUGGCCACCACAUAACAUCGUGUUUUACACAAAAAUUUGGUAAUAUUAGAAUUUUUAUUGUCGAGACCCACUAUGGUGCAAUUAUUAUUAGUAGAAAAGCUUCCAUUCGACGUAAAUUUACAAUAUAAUAAAAAAAAACCGAGACUUUGAAUAUAGAUCUAUGGCAAAUGAAAAUUUCCUUUUAAGUAAUAAUUGCACCAUUGCGAGUCCCAAUAAUAAGAAUUUUAAUGAUACCAAAAUAUAGUUCAAAUAACACUAAAGUAUGGCCCAUAGCAGCCGGCCACAGUUUAUGGUGACUGGCAGUGAAAAUUGUUUAUUUUAAUUAUAUAAAUUUAAAUUAUUAUUCAAUAUAAAUAGUAAUAAAAUAAAAAUGAAUCGUAAAAUUUUAAUUGAACAACAAUAUUAAAUUAAAAUAAAAUUUAUUAUUUUAAGUAAUAUAAUCCGUACUACACUAAGUAUAAUAUUACAUUACAGAUUAAUAUAAUACAAUGUAAUACAAUGCAAAACACACCCCUUACAUUAAAAACAUGUGUAUUAGAAAAAUAAAAUUAAAAAUUAAGAUUAAUAAUUGGGCCUUGAACUGCGAUCCAAUUUUUUAAUACAAGCACGGGCCUGCAAAAUUAGAACCCUAGCUGGCCCUUCGACCAUCUGGUUGAGCCCAAUGUUUUUUUUUUUUUUUUUUUUUAACUCCUUAAUUAAGACCUAGGUAAUUCAGUACAUAACCACUCGGGCAGCAGCCCGAGUGGCCAGGGCUGCUGCCCUCCAACUUAGAGGGCAGCAGUUCGAACCCCCACAAAAGUAUUGUGGGGGUAUUUUCUUCCUCAAUUAAUUUGAGUGAAGGUAGUCUUCUCCCUUACCCAUGAGUGAGGAGUAGACAUCCCUCGAAUAUUUGUGAGGGUUAAAAUCUGGGCAGAGCUCCAGCAUUGAUGUCAGUUGGUCCCAGUAAUAGUCUGAUUUGUAAAUAUCAGUAAUAAUCUCAUGUAUAUGAGUUGUAAUCUGAGCAAUAGUCUCAUGUAAUAAAAAGAAAAAAGGUAAUUCAGUACAUGAAAAAAUUGACAUUAAGUAAAAAUUUAAUUGAUGCGUGACCCGUUGUUUUUUUUGAUAUUAAUCACGAGGUAUCCUGGGGAGGGCCCCAACUGUGGGAGGCACCUUUAAGCCCGUACCACAACCCAGACUAGAAGUCCCCGCUCGAACCGGGAGGCACAGGUUCUCCCAACAAAGGCGACUUCCCUGCGACUCGAACUGGGGAGCAAACACAGUCAAGCCACUUAAGGGGACUCCAUUGCCAGUGGAGCCAACACUUUGUUGGUGCGUGACCCGUUGUUUACUAGUUCAGCAAGUGGUUGAUUUGUCGUAAAUAUCUAUAAAAAUUAUAGGAUGUGUCGUUUUUAUUACCGGAACAUGGAUGAAGACAUAUGAGCACCAGAUAUAUUGUAUUAGCAAGAAUCAUGGGAUUGAUUUCCCAAAACUAGAGGAACUAUCCAACCCAAAAAAACAAUAUUAAUUCAACAACUAGCAGAUGGCAUUAUUGCAAAUUCCAUUAUUUCCAUCGCAUAAUAUAUUCACAGAUAGGUUGAUCAAUUCAAAGAUGAAACACACUACAUAAGUACAUAUGUAAUUUCGCUAACUAAAAAGCAAAUUAAAAUUAAUUACUUCUUGUUAAUAGAGAGUGCUCCAUCCAACUCGUUAGCUAACUCUUGUACCUUGAAAUGAGAAAUUUGAAUGUUCUCAACAUCAAGCUUUUUGAAAUUACUUUGCCUUCUAGUGGCUAAAAAUUUUCCCAAAUUGUAUGCUCUGUAUUUAGCAGGAUUUUGCUCAUUCGUAAGCUCGCCUAAUGGUUUCACCAUUGUGCAAUGUGGUGGGCUGAAGAAAAAUGGAAUUGAAAAUCUUUCCUUCUCAGAAUUCACCGUAACCCUAUGCUCUACACUCUCAUAAACAUCAUUGCUCCAUACCUGCACAAUUACGUAGAUUCUAUUGGCAUUAAAAAAAAAACGAGUAUCGAAUACGAAAUUUUGAUUUUUGACACCAUAUUACUAAUUAUUAACCGUUUGAACAAAAAACUUAAGCUAGCUAUUACGAAUUACCUGAAGAAUGUCACCAACAUUUAUGAUAUAAGCAUCCGAGGUGGGUUUGAUGCGAACCCACUCUCCAUCUGAUUUUCUCUUCACCUCAAGACCGCCAACAUCAUCUUGAGCAAGGAUGGUAAGGGCACCGACGUCCUUGUGUCGACCCACACCUAGAGCUAGGUGAGGAGCUGGGCAUGGCGGAUAGUGAUUAAGUCUAACAGAUCUGGUUGGAUCUUCGAAGAAGCUACUGAACCUGCUUGCUGGGAGUCCCAGGCUUAGGGCUAUAAGUUCCAUCAACUUGUAAGCAAGUUUUUCCACUUCUCUAGCAUAUUCUUCACAUGACUCUCUGUCAAGCAUACCAAAGAUAAAUUCAUAACUAAAGUCCUAUCAUUGAAUCUUUUCUUGCAAAAUUAAACUUUUGCAUUAAUCAAAGUAUAUACGGUGGCUCCAAAAGAUUACAAGUUCUCAUACUGACCAACAACCAAUUAUAACCAUUUGAGUGGUAUUUAACACGUACGAAUCAGCUUCUUAUGGUUGUUUACCUUGUCAAUGAGUACCUCUUAUGGACUAUAUUGUGAGUUCUCUCCAACCAUGUGAAAAUUCACGUCACCAAUUUAGAUUUGCUAAUUACUCUCAAGCUUAUUAAAUUCGAUAACACAAAGAUAGUAAUCAAAAUGUCAAUUAGAUGGCUAAAAAAGGAAAAACUCUUUUAGAUGCUUGUACUAAAGGAUUAGAAUAUUUAUCUCUUGAUUUGAGAUCUCUUGAACCUUUAAGAACUUGUACUAAAAAGAAAAAAUAUAAAUGAAAAACAUAUUGUUCCGAAAAAUAAUGAUAAAGAAACAAAUGAAAACGAUAUAAUUAUUUAUUCAAAUGAAAUAGGUCCACUAUAUUGCAAUGAUCAAAUUAUCGUUAAGUACUCAAACUUCACCAUCACAAUAUAAGAGUUAACUUUACCUUAAUUCAGGAGGAUAAUCAGGCCAUUGAUUGAACGUCUCAGGAACUUCCUUGUCCUCAGGCUCAUGUGAAGCUGCCAUCAAAAUACGCUUAUCUGCAACAAAAUCAAAUACUUCUUUCCAGUCUCUAACAUUUUUGGUAUGCUCGUUGUCAUAGUACCCCACCGCCUUCUUCUCAUCUUUCCUCACCUUCCUUUUCUCCUCCAAUGGCUGCGCGAAGAAUUUUCUCAUAGCAUCUUCUACUUUCUGCCUCUUUUCUAAUGGCGCUCCAUGGUUGAUCACUUGGAAAAAACCCCAUUUCUUGCAUGCAUUACCUAUCUCCACCACAAGGUCAUCAAUGUUUUUGGUGUUGGCGUCAUUAGGAAAGCUCAAAGGUGAGAGAUCGAUCAAGGGUAUGCCUUCAUCUUCAGUGACUGAGAGUUUAGGCCUGUGUUCUAUGGCUUGAACGAAAGCUUCAUCAGCUUCUCCCAUGGCUAUAGCUAAGAAACAAUGUAUUAAAUUCUAAUGUAUAGUUUGAUAUAAAAGAGAGUAAUUGAGGCAGUUUAUUUAUAGUGGGCUAAAGGCUCUUUCAGCCUAGAGGACUUUUGAGCUAAUUAUGUAGUAAGUCUCUAUAUCUUUGAUAAUUACCCAGCAGUUAAUAAAAUUUACAUAAUUUUUUUUUAAUUUUUUAAUCUAUUGCAUGUUAGACUUAUUUUAAUUUUAAAUUAUAUUAAAAAAUAAUAUAAUUUUAUCUUUGAAAAAUUAGUAGCAACCAUUGUAGAAUUACCCAUAAAGCCGCAUUGUGUAAUUUUAAAAAAUACAGAUACUAAAAGUAUAAUUGACCCAAACCCUAAGUGGUAAAGGAAAAUUUACUGUAACCAUGCAAGAUAGGGAGUUAACAACAUAACAUUGAAUCUGGAUGGGAUUUUCGGGCAGGGAAGAGUUGGAAAAUUGUGUGACGUUUGUGCUUGCGUGGUUAAUUUUGUCUGAAGCGUCACAAAAUGGAUCAUAUAAUAAUAGCAGCGAAAGAAUCAAUGAUUCACUUAGUGGACAAGAGACAUACAUAGCCAAAGCACCAAGCAGGGUUUAAGGGACGAUUAUUUCACCGUGAUUAAUUAAUAAUUAAGUAAUUUUCACACCUAGUGAUAGAUUCGGUGUGUUUGAGGACUUUUCGUUGGUAAUCAGUUGAAAUUUAGUGCAGCAAAUAUUCUUGACAGCUGUACGUACUAAUAAUGGUUGAGCACACACUAUGAAAAUAUUGAGUGCUCGCGAAUGCCACUUCAUGUUUUACCUUUUUAAUUAAAGUUCCUGACUAGAGUUCCAUGCUUCUUUAAUUUGCUUAACACAUAGUAUAAUAGUUUCUUGAUCAACCAUCUAAGUGAUUUUGUCUAAGGGUGAAAUGCUUUAAAAUGAAGUGAGGAGGUGCUCAACACUCAGUCAACGAGUGAUUUGUUAGUUUGGUAUUAACUAUUAAGUUGGAAGAUAGAAAAGAAGAGAAAAUAAAUAUUUGUCUAUUGACGUAUGACAUGUCAUUUACAACUUCAUCACAUAGUAAACCUAUGGUAAAUAUUAAUAAGUAGCAUGAUAUGUCGUUUUUGUUUUCAGAACAUGGAUGACAUUGUGUAUGUAUUUUACUUUGAAUUAAAAAAUGUAUGACAUCUAGUUUAUAAAUUAAUCAAAUAUAUGACUUUUUGUUUAUAUUUUGAGCACAUAAAUGACAUUACAUACAUAUUUCACCCCUGAGUAUAAGCGUACGACAUGUCAUUUAUAAUUUAAUUAAAUUAUUAUAAGGCAUUGCGGUGGCUAAUUAAAUAAGUUAUUUUUCUGCUGUGCGGAUAAAAUAAGUUGUUGAGUAAAAAAAAAGUUUAUUGUUUAGUAAACUGUGUUGUUAGAAUUGUUGUAAGCUUAAAAAGUAGUGUAUAUGUGUUUGGUAAUAUUGUUUUAUUAUAUAAUAACUAAAAAUAUAUAAAUUUAAAUUACCUUUUAUUUUUUAGAGUAUGUUUAGUGAUAUUUAGACAUACAUUUUUCUUUUAAAACACGUAAAAUUAUAUAAAGUGAAAAAAUCAAUUAAAUAAAAAUAUAAUGAACUUUAUAAAAUGAUAAAAAAUUUAUACUAGUACAUAAUUCAAAUAAAAUGAAGUAAUAUGCAUUACAUUCACAUUAAACUUUUUACAAUAAACACCUUGGUUAUCGAAAAAAUAUAAAUAUAUUGAACGUUAAAAGUCAUGGUUAUGAAAUUGCAAUUUCAAAAGUUAUCUUUAGCCUUUAUGUGAAAUUGUUCAUAGUUCAAAGAAAAUUUACAUAAUCAUAUGCAAAUCUUAUUGAUUCUUAUAAUAGAAAAAUAAAAGUAUAAUAAAAAAUAUGAAUUUAUAGGAUAAAACUUUGAUACUGAAGAGAACGUAUAGUAGCGGUAAUUUGAUUAUGACAAUAAUAUGAUAUCUAAUAGUUUAUAUAUUAGAGUGCAUAGAAAAAUAAGACAUAAUUAUCUUUUUGUUAAAAUAUUAAAAUUAUAAUAAGAAUUUUAAAAAUGUAUCAUAACUUAUUUAAUGAGCUACUUACCAAAAAAAGGAAAAAAAAAAAAAACUCAGGAACAAAACUCUACCUACUUUUAAAAGUUAUUAUCAAAAUGGAGAAAAUUAUAAAAUAAACAACUUUUAUGAAAUUUAUCAAAUAUAUUUUUUUUGUUAAAAAUUUUGAAAUAAGUAACUUAUUGAAUUUUAACCUCAAUCCCAAAUGAUGCCUAAAUGAAAACUCACUUAAUAUAAAAAAGGAAAAAAUCAAUUUUAAUUAUAAAAUAAAUUGUUUCUAAUGACCACAAUGACGACAACAACAACAAUAAUAACAACAACAACAAUAUCUUUAUGAUAUUUUGAUUUAUUUUUUAUAUUAUUCAUAUCCAAUAAUAACAAUGUCAUAAUUUAAUAAUUUAUUGAUUAAUUAAUAUUAAAUAAAUUAAUAGAUUUUCCACGAAUAAUGUAAUAGUACACAUUUGGUAAUAAAAGGAAUUGGCUACACAGCAUCAGUUUCUCAAGUACCUUUUAAUUUUCUCCAAGACUAUUGAAACUUGGCACGAUUUUGUACCUCAAGAAAUGACUAUUGAGAUAUGAUAAAAGCGAUCGAGAAAUCACUAAUACCCAGAAGUUUAAGCUACUUAGGCAAGAUAGAAAUGACUGCAGUCAUGCAGAUAUAGAAAAGCAAAUGCAGACAUUAAGUAACCGCCAUAUCUGAAAGCUAAGCUUGUUGGGAAGAGCCUAUCAGUUACAAUAUAGAAGUUCUACCAUAUGCCUUGUUCUUAAUCUACAGGCAUGAUGUAAAUGACUGCUAAAACAAAGCAUAGUUCUAACAGUAAUAUUGAAGUUCUAGCAUGUGCCUCAUACAUCAAGGAACUGGAUCGCCAGAAUUCAGCCCGUUUACUAGCUCGUUGAAGGGCUUCAGCAAGGCAUGGUGAGCAGGGGAUGAAGAAAAGUGGAAGCGAGAACCUCCACCACUCUUUAUGCUCUGCACUCUGACAUUUAUCAUUGCUCCAAACUUGCAAAAACACACCCCAUUCACAAGUUUAUUUUAACAUAUUAAAUAUUUAUUUUUACAGAAAACUAGAAAACGGGAUUUAUUGUUUUCAUUUUCAGAUAUUGGUUUCAAAACAAGCUGUAUAUUAAAUUCUUUCUCAAUUCUAAAAAAAUCACAUCAACAAACAAUAUUUUCACUCUUUAAAAGAAAUUUUAAAACCACCAUUGAAGACAAUGCCAAAAAUGCCUUUUUUUAGAGUUUUUAGAUGUUGGUUGAAAUUGACACAAGUGCUUAUCAAAGUUAUAACACACUAGAGGAAAGCCCUCAAACACUGUUUAAUGAAUAAGGAAGAGACUUGUAUGUUUCUUGUGUUAACUGGAUACUGUGUUAUGCUGGGUUUGCACAUCCUUUGUGUUGGACCAAAACCAGCAAGAAACCGAUUUUGAUCCCCUAAGAUCCACUCAAUCAAAUCUUUAACUUAAGAAUGUUUGAUAACCAAAAUGAACUUGAAGAUAAAACUGAUACGAUAAUCUGGAAACACAGAAAUCGAACCAACAAGAUGCUGAAACAAUCACACACACAAACACAAGAGGAUUAUAGUGGUUCAACCACAAUGUGGCCUACAUCUACUGUUAAAAGGAGAACAAGCUUUCACUGAUUUGGCUUAUCAAGAUACAAGUUUUUUUAGAGAAACUGUCACACUCUCGAUCUAGCCACAUAACAACUCACGAGGCUAAAUAUACAACAAAAGAUUGCUUCUAGAAAUAACCCCAGAAGCCAGCACAACGUCACUGGCAGAAAUUUCCCGCGCCUUUUAACAGCUUUACCAGCCGCUUAAAACAGCUACUGGACACGUGUUACAAUCUCGUCAAAAACGCUGCCUCCAUCUGCCGUUUUGAGCAAGUAAUGCACGUGUUACAUCACGUGCCCAACCUAUUCAACUAGCUGACUGAGUAGCCUUGUCAUACAGCGUUCUAAUUCGAGAUAAUCGACAUGUCACCCAUCUCUGGACUAAAAAACCGACACGUCGUACACGACCACAAACCCAGAUUUGUAGUUUAGUUCAACACGUUGGCUUUUCUUUCUUAUUGGGAAGGCAUUGGCAGAUAAGUGAUUCUAAACACACCAGAGAAAAUUAAAAGAAUUGUAAAAGUGAGUGGAAAUGAGUGAAAAACUAACAAUCAAUAUCCAUGAUUUACAGAGAGACUCCGUAGGCUUGAACACUGACUUAAAACUAUGUUUCCCAGCAUGAACUCUUUGAUAAGUAAAAUAAGUGUAAAUUUCACUCAUUUUUCUUUUCUUUUCGACAUAUGAAAAAAGAAAAUAAAUAGAUGAAUAAAAGAGCGUUCUUACGUACAUGUAGUUUAGCAUCUUGAUUCAACUACUUGGAACUCUUAAAGAGGCACAACAACCUUUCGAAAGAAUUGUGUUACCUGCAUUUUCUUUUAUAUGCAGAAAGUUAUAUUUUUUAUGUCAAAAUUAGUCUCCCCCCCCCCCCAAAGGAGAAAGAUCAGUUGAUAAGGCCUUGACAUACCUCUCAAAUAGACGCAUGCAAUAAUUUGAACUCUCCUCUAUAGAGAACAGAUCGACAAAUGGAAUGUGUGCUAUUUUAUGCCAAUUUUCACCAAUUUUCUUCUUGCAUCGCUUUUAUAAUUCAGGAUAACCUCGGAGGUUCAAAAAUAGAUUGAUAAGAUUCUUGGUGCUUGCAGGAAGACAUCGGAAAGUAAUUUUAUUAAUUGAUGGUUUACAUAAAGAAACUGAAGAUUCAAAACAAGACUUCAAUUCUAAGUUAUUGAGUUGAACACCAUCAAAAGCAGAAUUGAUAUAACAACAUGACAACAUAAAUAGUGGUGUAGGAGAAGUAGUAGAGGAAGGAAUACUGUAAGAUAAGAAAGAAGAUGGUGAUGAUGAUGAUGGCGAAGAUUUGAGUAACAGCCUGUAUAAUCCUUUCUCAGCAAGACCUUGUAGAAGUACCUGCCUCUUUAGAGAAUACUUUACAUAGCAGAUGUUACCAACAAAUUCAACAUAUAAGUGAUUAUCAGAUGUAAGUUUAGAAAUGCUCAGCAAGUUCUUUGUAAUGGAAGGAACAAGUAGAAUAUCUUUAAGUGCUAUUUGUGGGUGAUGGUGUUUAGUAUUUGAACUUUUAAAAGUAAGGAAUGCAUCACCAAUGUGUGUUAUAGGCAAACCUUGGCCAUUUCCAAUGAUAAGUUGAUCAGAACCUCUCAAUUCUUCUCUAAUGUUCAUAUUAGCUACGUUAUUAGUCAAGUGAUGUGUUGCUCCACUAUCAAGGUACCACCCUUGAUCAGCUGGUCCUUCAAAAUUUGCAAUAUAAGCAACUCCAAAUAUAGAGAAUGUGUCAAGUAUAUAGUAUGGAUUCAUAUCAGAUGGCUGAUAUGAAGAUUAAUUCAUAGCAUGAGAGUUAGCAAUAUAAGGCCCAAAUUCAGUAAAUGGUUCAAAGUUGGUCAUAUAAGCAGCCUUAGAUCCUCUAACUCUACCAAAAGACCUUACUGGAGCUAUAUAAUUUUUAGUAUACCUAUGCCAACAUGCAUCCGCAGUGUGACUAGAUUUAUGGCAAAUUUGGCAAAUAAGAGCAUUGUCACUAGAUUCAUCAGUAAAUGAGUCAUGAGACAUAUUGAAGACAGAUUUGUUGUGUGAUGAUGCCUUGUGAAUUGGCAUUUGUGGUGAAUAUCCUCUAGCAAGGUUAUAACUACCAUUAUCAUUGGGAAAUCCUUUGGAAUACGCAUGAAAGAACAUUCCUCUUCCACCAUAGUGAUUCAUGUUUCCAACAUUAAAAUGUCCAUGAUAUCUACUACAUCCAUAACCUCUUCUUCUGCCACUAUCCCUUCCUAGUGAAUAGUUUGAAUUAACCAUUCCAUAAUUCGCAUUAAACACAUACUUAGCUAUCUGAUUAUGUUCCAAUCUAGCCUCAUGUGUUAAGAGCAAAGCAUAAGCAUCAUCAUAUGACAUUAUAUCAGCAGUGAUGAUAGAUGCAAGAUCUAAGUAACUAGUCCCAAUCCGUCUAACACUUGCAUCAACAAAUCUCUUUCUGAUAAAGGACUACCAACACAAGUAAGUUUAUCAGCAAGAAUUUUAACUUUCAAACAAUAUUCUUCAACAGUCAUGGAUUCUUUUCUAAGUACACUCAUUUUAUAUCGAAGCUGCAUAACCUUGGCCUCAGAUUGAGUACCAAAAUGUUUUUCAAUAGAUUUCCACACAUCAUAAGAUCUAUCACAAUUAAGUACGGAGCUCAAAAUACCUUCACUUAUAGUUGACAGAAACCAGCCAAGGAGAGUUUGAUCUUUAGCUUGCCAAUUAACAUAAGCUGGAUUAAUAAUUUUCUGCACCGAUCCAUCAUCUGCUGUGUGAUUAAUAGUUUGAUCUUCAUUUUGAGUGUAUCUUGAAUCAUCGUCUCGAACAAAGUCUUGAAUAAGAGAUCUCCAGUAUAAUUCAUUGAAUAUCUCAUUACCAAAAUCUUCAACUUCAAGAGUUCCCUUGGAUGAAAAAAACCAUUAGCCAUCCAAAGAUGAAUUAGACGCUCUUUCUUAAUUUUAGAAUGUUUAGGAAAUACAGCACAAAAAGCAAAACAUUGUUUCAAUUCCGCUGGUAAGUUGGAAUAGCUCAAUCGUAAGACAGGCAAAAUGGAAAUUUUCUCCUGGGGUAAGUUCCAUAGUUUACUGUCUUUUACAUGUAGCCACUCGUUUUAAUCGCUUUUAAAGCGCAUCAGGUUCCUAAAGUCUUUGCAGCUAGCGAGACACCAUUACACUUCCUCACUAUUUCCUUGGCGAUUGCUAAAAUGUCAUGUUUGCUUAUGCCUAAAGAUUAUGAUCAAUGGAUUUGUUGAUAUGAUCAUCAAAAUCAACUGAAUUUUAUUAGAAGUUGAAAACCAAAAUCAGCUGGAUUUUAUGACAAUCUAAUAAAACAUUCAAUUUCUAGUGGGAAUUUAUUAUAUGGAUGUUUAUUUUAUUGGUUUAUCAAAAGGGAGACUUCAAAUAAAGAGAAGAGAGGUUGAAUGUGAAAUUAAGAUGCACGGUUGGUGUAAUGACAAAAAUUUUAAUUUUUUUAUUCAAUAAUUUUAUCACCUGACCUUAAUUUUUAUUCGAAUUAAGGGUGUACAUUUUCAAACAUACAAAGCUUCACACUUAAAAUAUAUUGAUAUCAAAAAAUUUCAUUUUAAUUAUAUAUCUUGCUUCACGUUCUAUCUUUCAUUGUUGAAUCGUUUAUAUGAACAUACAUGGUUAAUAAUUAAUAUUAAUGGAGACAAAUAGGCAGCACAUUUUUUACUGAUUCCACAAAAUAGGCACCACUUUUUUUUUUGAUAUUAGUCACGAGGUAUUUUGGGGAGGGCCCCAACUGUGGGAGGCACCACUUUAUUUAUUGAUUUCACAUUACGGAAAUAAUAUUUAUUAAUGUGAGACACUGACACCAACUAGCAGAUGACAUUAUUGCAAAUUCCAUUAUUCCCAUGACAUAAUAUAUUCACAUAUAGGUAGAAUUCGAAGAUGAAACACAAUAGGUGUGUGAAUUUAUAACUAAAUUAAUUACUUGUUAAUAGAGAGUAGUCCAUCCAGCUUAUUGGCUGACUCUUGCACCUUGAAAUGAUAAAUUUGAAGGUUCUCAACAUCAAGCUUCUUCAAAUUGCUGUGCAAUCUAGAAGUAAAAUAUUUUCCCCAAUUGUAUGCUCUGUAUUUAGCAGGGUUUUGCUCAUUUAUAAGCUCAUCUAAUGGCUUCAUAAUUGUGUAAUGAGAUGGGUUGAAUAAAAUUGGAAUUGAAAGCCUUUCCUUCUCAGAAUUCACCACAACCCUAUGCUCCACAGUCUCAUAAGCAUCAUUGCUCCAUACCUGCACAAUUACAUAGAUUUUAUGGAGACCAAAAAAGCAUAUACAUAGAUUUAAUGAAACCGAUAUUGUAUAUGAAUAUAUUUUAUUGAGACCAAAAAAGCAUAUACUGAACACGAAAAUUUGAUUUUGAUACCAUAUUAAUAAUUAUUAAACGUUUGACCAAAAAGCUUAAACUAGCUAUUACCUGAAUACAAUCACCGAUAUUUAUGAUAUAAGAAUUCGGGAUGGGUUUGACGCGAGCCCAUUCUCCGUCUGAUUUUUUCUUUACCUCAAGACCUCCGACAUCAUCUUGGGCAAGGAUGGUAAGGGCACCGCUGUCCUUGUGUCGACCCAAGCCGAGAGUUAGGUGGGGAGCGGGGCACGGUGGGUAGUGAUUAAGUCUAGCAAAGGUGGUUUGAUCUUUGAAGAAGCCAUUGAACCUGUUUGCUGGUAGUCCCAGGCUCAGGGCUACGAGUUCUAUCAACUUGUAAGCAAGUUUUUCCACUUCUUUAGCAUAUUCUUCAAAUGCCUCUCUGUCAAGCAUAAGCCAAAAGUAAACAAAUAGAUACUAUAAUUGCAACAUUUUCAAUUUUGCAUUAAUCAGAAUAUGCUUGGCUCCAAAAUACUAUUACAAGCUUUCAAAUUGACCGACAACAAAUUAAAAUUAUUUGGUGGUAUUUAAUACGACUCAUCUGCUUAUGGCUGUUUAUUUUGUCAAUAAAUACCUCUUAUGGACUAUAUUGUGAGUUUGUGACUACCCUCCAACCAUGAGAAAAUUCGGGUUACCAAUUUAUAUUUCUCGCUCUCAAGAUUAUUAAUUUCGAUAGCACGAAAUUAAAAUGCCCAUUAGAUGCUUUAAAAAGUAAAAAAUCUCGCUCAAUUGACUUGUACAUUAUUAAAGGAUCAAAAUUCUCUUUUAAUCCGAGUUCUCCUCAAAUUAUAGUUAAGUACGAAAAUUUCACCAUCAAAAUGUAAGAAUUGAACUUUACCUUAAUUCAGGAGGAUAAUCAGGCCAUUGACUGUACGUUUCAGCAACUUCCUUGUCCUCAGGUUCAGGUGAAGCUGGCAUCAAACAAGGGCUCUCCACGACAAAAUCAAACACUUCUUUCCAAUCUCUAACAUUUUUGGUAUGCUCGGUGUCAUAAUACCCCACCAACUUCUUCUCAUCUCUCCUCACCUUUCUCUUCUCCUCCAACGGCUGCUCG
Molecule: long non-coding RNA, 17401 nt
Filed under: Citrus sinensis (sweet orange)
Lineage: Eukaryota; Viridiplantae; Streptophyta; Magnoliopsida; Sapindales; Rutaceae
Description: long non-coding RNA (CSIN_LNC002347)
Source: RNAcentral